Long non-coding RNA from Sarcophilus harrisii (Tasmanian devil), 3622 nucleotides. Lineage: Eukaryota; Metazoa; Chordata; Mammalia; Dasyuromorphia; Dasyuridae. The record is from Ensembl.
AAAAAAGAGAUUUCUUUUAUUUAACAAUUGUACAAAUGAUAAAACAAUACCAAAUGCUAUACACAGAACAAGAAGAAAACUAUGUCAAACAGAAUGAUCCUUGGCAGAAUAUACCUUAACUCUAUACAAAUAGAAUCUGGAGGGCUCAGUAGCAAUAGUACUGUGAAACAAUGUUAUUCUCUGUAAACUCUUUUCCUGUGUUAUAUCCAUUUAAAACACUUGUGCUUUUGCCUACACAAAUAAAUACCAUAGUAAUGUGUUACUGAAAUCAAUAAUCUAAAUAUUGAAUCCUUAAUCUAUAAAUUGCAGCAUAAACAAAUUUUUAGUCUUAAAAUUUUAAAAAUAUUUCAAACAAACUGAAACCCUGUUUUAACACUAUUCAUCAAAUCAGUGAAAGCCUAAAGGAAGAAUGGUAACAGAAAUACUAAGGAAUUUUGUAUAUCUCAUCAAAAGGGGUAUGUAUCUCAAAUAUAGCAUUAUAACAAGGUUCCAUAAUGGACAUGAUAUAGAUAUUUGUAGGUGAAACACAUCAGUUAUAAACACAUACAUAAACAGCAUGACAAAAUUAUCAGUGAACUAAAAAUUUUGAGACACCCUGUAUUGUGUAUGUGUAUACAUAUUUGUUUGGAUUUCAUUUGUACUUUUCACCAAAACAAAUAUAAUUAUUCUAAUACUCAAUUCUUUAAGUAGCUAGGGAAUGUGUAAUGGUUGAUGAGGAAAUUUUAUCCCAAGCUGUAAAGAUAACUAAUACAUAUUUCUCCCAUGCCUUUUCUCUAAUUCAAGAAAGAAAUUAUACAAAUAUAUAUUAAGCGCCUCCUUUGUGCAAGGCACUGUUCUAGCAUCUGGAGUUACGAUAAAUAUUACCUACUAAUAGACACUUAAAAUAUUUUUCUAUGGACCAAAUAUCAAGUCAUGUGCACAUGUAACUAAUUUUUCAAAUGAAAACUAAUUCCUUUGUACACUCUCUUUCUGUGUAAUAUCUUAAUAUCUAAUAGGUAUAUACACUAUUCCUAGGAUUUUGCUUAACUUUUUUUUGGUAAGCAUAAAUGUAGAUAUUCCCAUUAACAAUUGAUAUAGAAUUCACAUGAUAUACAACAUAAGGAUUACUUUGAGCAACCAGCUUCUUCUGUCCUUCCCAGACAUAAUUUUCAUAAAAAUUUUAGUUUUGUUCACAAUUUAACCAGUUUCAUCCAUUCCUGUGGUUGAAAUACUAAAAGUUAACCAGGAAAUCACAGAACAUAAUUAUCUGAGACUGAUCAAUUUGUAUUUUGGUAACCUUAUAAUUAUUAUUGAGUUCAUUGAGCAAUAACCAUUAUAGCUUUACUGUGGAUUGUUCAUGCCCCCAAAAGUCUUUUUAUUUAAAGGACAGAAAUACUAAAUUAAGCACCUGCCUGGUGCAGAACUUUCCAGUAUCAUGCAGAGGGUUUUAAAUUUUGAAAUAGAAGUGGAUUAAUGCUGAGGAAUAUGUGACUGUCCUAAAGCAACAUGAGAUAUGUCAAGUAUUUGAUAAUAUUUUGAUUUACUCUACAUUCUCCUGUCUUGACUUUAUAUUUAGACAUUUUUCUCUCUCUGCCCAUAUAGUUAUUCUCUAUUCAUUUCUUUGACCUAUUCUUAUAAAAAAGGCCAUAUCAGAUAGUUAAGGAGAAGGGAACAAGGAAAGGUAUAUAGUAGAAAAUGAAAUGGGAUGGUACAGGUUGCUACUUUGAGCAUGAAAUGCCUUUAAAUGAAUUCAUUUCAGAGUAUUAAAAGCUCCCUGAGAUUGACAAAAGUAGUCUCAGUCAAUGCUGAAGCCCUUUUUUUUUUUUUUUUUUUUUUUGUUUGUUUUGUUUUUGAUGCUGGACUCUGGUAUGAAGGAAUAUUUUCAGAACUGGGAACAUAUUUGGAGAAUACAAGCAAAAAGUCACAAAGAAAUGAGAAGCUAAAAAGGCACUACUUAAUUCAUCUUUGAGAUAGCAAUGCACAGAUAAGUGGACAGUAGAAAUGCUUUUGUUGUGGCCUUACAAAACAGGCUUAAAUUCAUUUGUUGAAUUAAAAAAAAAGAAAUGUAGCAUCGUUUGCCUUCAUUCCUGCUGGUUGAGAGAUAUACUGAAUGUUUCUGUGAGCCUUCCUAGCCUUUUAGGACUUAAUAUAUCAACUCUGAGUAGAUUCAGAAAUUUUCCACUGUAUAAUCCAAUCCAAAUAGAUAGUAUCCGUAACUUUUCUGCUUUAUAUUUGUUUAAGUGCUGAAUUUUAAAUAAUUUUAUCAGUAACAUAAUCAAAAUACAAUUCUAUUGUUUCAAAGAUGAUGAAUGAUUUUUAAUGAUGUGGACCAAUCUUAUCCUUUUUACACUUCAUUUCAGUAUUGAAUGAUGCUACUAUUUUCUUUAUGCUUUUUGAGAAAUAUCAACAUUUUAGGAAAAGUCAUGUAAGCCAAAUAUUUAUCCUGCAUUUUAAUAUUAUCACAUAAAGUAUCAAAAUACAUAUAGUUAUAAUGAUUCCCAUUUCUUCAAAAUGAAAGCAUAUAUAGCUCUGUGUGUGUGUGCCUAUACUGAUGGUACUGAUUUUCCUCCUUUAAAAAAAUGGUUUUUAUUUUGUGAUUUCAUUGGUGUAAGGAAUUCCCAGUGAAAAGAUUCCCUCUACCAAGGCAGGGCAAGAACUGUUGUAAAACACAAACUGAAAGUUAACAGGAACAUUGAGAGGUUAAAUAUAUUGCAGUGUCCCAUAGCCAUUAUGUGUCAGAGCUGGGAUUUAAAGUCAGUUCUUAGCUGGCUAUCUAUUCACCAAAUUGAGAUGCUUUACUACCUGUGGUUCUGCUUCUUAGCAUCUAUGAUAUGUCAUGAGCAAGUUACUCUCUAUGGUCUCAGUUUCCUCAUAUGUAAAAUGAAAGUAUUCUUCUCUAAGGUCCUUUCUGGCUAUAUGACUGUGGACAUUUAAAACAAAGGUGCAUUUGUGUAUAUAUUAUAUAUACAUAUUUGCAUAUACACACAUAUACAUAUAUAUAUAUCAUAUAUAGAUAUAUGUACACACACAUACACAGAGAAAAAGGGAGGAGAGACACAGAAACAGAGACAAUGAGGCAGAAUGGCAUCCUGGAUAGAGAAGUGGUCAUAAAUUGUGAUGUUCUGAAUUAAAAUCCCAGCUUUGGCAAAUAUUGGCUGUAUGGCUUUAAGCAAGAUACUUAAUAUCUCAGUGACUCAGGUAACCCUUUCAAACUUUAAGUCGAAGAAAAAAAUGAUUAUCUUCACUGAUAGAAUUUCCUCACAGAUUUCCCUAAAACAAUUAAAAGGCAGGUCUGGUUGGAGAAAAAAAAAAAGGUGACAACAUACAUAUUGUGUAAAUAUCAUCAAGGACACAUAUGAUUUAAAAAGAAGGCAGAUCAGUCAAGUAUUAAAAAGGACAACAGCUGUUUAGUCAGUGUGAUAAACUUAUAAUUUCUAAAUAGUAAAAGAAAAAAACAUGCUGGAACAGAUGCAUUAUGGAAGAUAUUUGGAAAAAUAUGGACAAAAUAAUAUAUAUUGUGAAAGAGAUGCCAUGUACAUAGUUCUCUACAUGCAGUGGGUACUUAAUAAAUGUUUCUUACUUUUAUAUAAGUGAAGAAAGUACCUACUGACCUAUCACAAGUCCAUCAAAUUAAAUGAGUCAU